RNAcentral lists this ribosomal RNA (254 nucleotides) under uncultured bacterium. Its description in RNAcentral is "partial 16S ribosomal RNA". It matches the Rfam family "Bacterial small subunit ribosomal RNA", at positions 524 to 776 of the family's 1533-position model. The record is from RNAcentral.
UACGGGGGGAGCAAGCGUUGUUCGGAUUUACUGGGCGUAAAGGGCGCGUAGGCGGUCAGCACAAGUCAGUUGUGAAAUCUCCGGGCUUAACUCGGAAAGGUCAACUGAUACUGUGCGACUAGAGUGCAGAAGGGGCAACUGGAAUUCCUGGUGUAGCGGUGAAAUGCGCAGAUAUCAGGAAGAACACCCGUGGCGAAAGCGGCUCUCUGGAACGGUACUGACGCUGAGACGCGAAAGCGUGGGGAGCGAACAGG